RNAcentral lists this ribosomal RNA (535 nucleotides) under Salmonella enterica. RNAcentral's name for it is "bacterial SSU rRNA". It matches the Rfam family "Bacterial small subunit ribosomal RNA", at positions 998 to 1533 of the family's 1533-position model. The record is from RNAcentral. Lineage: Bacteria; Pseudomonadati; Pseudomonadota; Gammaproteobacteria; Enterobacterales; Enterobacteriaceae.
AUUCAGAGAUGGAUUUGUGCCUUCGGGAACCGUGAGACAGGUGCUGCAUGGCUGUCGUCAGCUCGUGUUGUGAAAUGUUGGGUUAAGUCCCGCAACGAGCGCAACCCUUAUCCUUUGUUGCCAGCGGUUAGGCCGGGAACUCAAAGGAGACUGCCAGUGAUAAACUGGAGGAAGGUGGGGAUGACGUCAAGUCAUCAUGGCCCUUACGACCAGGGCUACACACGUGCUACAAUGGCGCAUACAAAGAGAAGCGACCUCGCGAGAGCAAGCGGAUCUCAUAAAGUGCGUCGUAGUCCGGAUUGGAGUCUGCAACUCGACUCCAUGAAGUCGGAAUCGCUAGUAAUCGUGGAUCAGAAUGCCACGGUGAAUACGUUCCCGGGCCUUGUACACACCGCCCGUCACACCAUGGGAGUGGGUUGCAAAAGAAGUAGGUAGCUUAACCUUCGGGAGGGCGCUUACCACUUUGUGAUUCAUGACUGGGGUGAAGUCGUAACAAGGUAACCGUAGGGGAACCUGCGGUUGGAUCACCUCCUUA